This is a long non-coding RNA of Hevea brasiliensis (rubber tree), 1008 nucleotides long. RefSeq lists it as uncharacterized. The record is from RefSeq and is a predicted model, not a curated record. NCBI's taxonomy places the organism in Eukaryota, Viridiplantae, Streptophyta, Magnoliopsida, Malpighiales, Euphorbiaceae. The transcript is spliced from 2 exons.
UUUAGAAUAAAGACAUCAACUUAGAUAUCAACUAUAGUAGUUUGUUUCCUAAUAAUGCAUGGGUCAAAUUUGUGGUCAACAAGCAAACCAAUUAUUGUUGAAUGCGUAUACAUUUAUACCAUCCAUGUACGAUAUUUAAAUGCCAUAUGUACUGCCACUAAAAUUAUAUUCGCAAUGGCUUGUUUGUUUGUAGUACAAUUGUGGCCUAAACCAUGCAGAGGGAGUACAUAUUUUGUACAACUAUGCUCUAUCCAAUGGAAAUGUCUUGGCAGUGGAAAGUACUACUUAUGGUGCGGUGUGCAGUACAUUUUCAGCACAACCACUUGGGAUUAUAUAUAACUUUGGAUUCAAUUACCCUUUGCAUAAUUAUCCAGAGUUUCUUCGAUCGAUAUGAAAAUGUGGAGGAUUCCUGCAGUGGCCACCUGAGAUCACAUGUGGACACCCUCACAUAUUCCCAUUGGCUGUGUUUUCAUGUGUUCUCAGGUCGCCCCUGCUGGGCUUUCCUCCACCGCUCGAUGAGUUUGAUCAAAGUAUAGGUUGCUGAUGCCUGAUGGAUCUUUCAGAUGGUGACUACUUUUGUGUCAACUUCGCCCACCUGCAGCUACCAGUCAGUGCUAAUUCAAUAUCUACACUGUGCAAAUGUGUGCUCACGAUGCCAGGUUGUUCUUCAUAAAGAAAAUGCCAUGCUUAAUUAUAAAUAAAGCAUUGACUAAACCAAAAUCCUUACACCAGACUUAAUAGCAAGUAGAUCUUCCCUGACGACUUUCUUCCAGACCACAUGAGGAUUAAUCACCAUGAGUGCCUGCAGAGUGAAAUAAAACUAUGAAUUAAAACAAUCUAGUGUUUUCAGAGUUCAGACUGCAGAGGGAAAGAAAACCAUGAAUUACAGAUACCUUUGGCAUCUAUCAAAUAAUCCUACAAAUGAAAUGGAGCACAUCAUCUUACCCCCAGAUUUGGACAAAUACAGCUUGCUAGCCAUAAGUGAAAAAAACUUAUUACAGCCACAAA